This 1307-nucleotide long non-coding RNA is filed under the name Ursus maritimus (polar bear). RNAcentral describes it as "lncRNA (ENSUMAG00000016549.1)". Lineage: Eukaryota; Metazoa; Chordata; Mammalia; Carnivora; Ursidae. The record is from RNAcentral.
UAGAGGGCGUAUUUCUUCUUCACUAUUUUGUUUUUUCUGCUUCUCCUCACAUCUGGCUUCUGCCACAACUGGCAGCAGAAAUGCUGACCUGUCAUGAGAAAGGCUUUCUGGGGGACACGUGGCCUGGGCAGCCGCAGCAAAAGCAGCAGGAAGUACAGGAAAUCUCAUGAGACGGUCUGUUCUUGGGCACUUGCCAGCCUGGUUCUGCAGCCUCAUGAGGCAAAGAGAAGCAUCCAAGUGACUGGGGACAUCGCUGGAACAGAGUCCCCAUUCUCAGCAGUUCGAGGUCCACCCAUAACUGACAAAAUGAGCACAGGACACCCCCGUGGGGCUCCAGCCACAGCCGGUGGCCAUGGUGCUCUAUGUGGAGAUACUUUUUAUUCUAAUGGCUCCACGCGCCCAGGGAGCCCGAGAGUUAAUACUGGCUGUGAAAGGCAUCAAGCAAGGCUUUCUCUGCACGCGCUAGAAUGUGCCGGUUCACGGGGACCUCCUCCCGAGGCUGAAAAUGUGCAGAGCAGAGCUGGGUAUUGCCAGAAGCUUGGUGGAUGACAGCCUGGAAUGGGCCCUGCCGGUCAGAAGCCUGGGGCCCCAACACUGUGGUCCGUUGAGGGUUAUCAUCUGACUUGCCUCCAGGGAUGCUAAUAAGGUCCCCCUUAUGCACGCAGCAGGGUGAGAGCAUUCCUGGCCGCUGCUAAUUUGCAAAGAAGGCUUGAAAUAACUGAAUUAUAAAAUGCAAUUGCAGAUAUGUAUGCUCAAACAAUUCGUCUUUCUAAAGGGAGCUCAGCUAUUACUCUAAAUGGGUUUCCUCCUGCCUUCUCCCCACUGCGUACAGCUGCCUUGGUGAUCUGAGCCACCCUGCCCACUCUUUUUCAACACACAUAAAAUUCGAACGGUGAGAAUUUCUUGAAGAGAUGACUAAUGCAGAUAAGAAAAUUAAAGAUGUAUUUAAAAAAAAAAUUCCAAAGCCUGGGAGUGACCCACGUACUUCAGAUAAGAGGGCUGCUGUUCAGUUUCUGCUGGGCAGGGGUGGGGGCGGCAGGGUUUUCGUCACGACUUCUCCUGGGCAAAUGCUGAAAAGCCACUGUCCCCACUGCCACCACCACUGACAACAGAAAAACACACAAGAAGCCUUUGCCACGCAGAUUUGCUUUCGGGCUGAACAGACAGAUGUUUUCUAAUUAGCAUCUAUCAACCUUAGGGCUAUUAUUAAAAGUUGGUUCUUUUGGUUUUAUGGUAAAAAUCUCUUAUAAGUAAUACCAUAAUCAUAAAGAUGUUCAAAUAAAGUAAACAUUUCAAGUCCCUGCCCA